RNAcentral lists this ribosomal RNA (261 nucleotides) under uncultured archaeon. RNAcentral's name for it is "partial 16S ribosomal RNA". It matches the Rfam family "Archaeal small subunit ribosomal RNA", at positions 748 to 1008 of the family's 1478-position model. The record is from RNAcentral.
CAGCCGUAAACUAUGCGCGUUAGGUGUACUGGUGACCACGAGUCACCGGGGUGCCGAAGGGAAACCGUGAAACGUGCCGCCUGGGAAGUACGGUCGCAAGGCUGAAACUUAAAGGAAUUGGCGGGGGAGCACCUCAACGGGUGGAGCCUGCGGUUUAAUUGGACUCAACGCCGGAAAUCUCACCGGAUAGGACAGACAUAUGAUAGUCGGGCUGAAGACUCUACUUGAUGAUCUGAGAGGUGGUGCAUGGCGUCAGUGACU